Molecule: long non-coding RNA, 868 nt
Organism: Macaca mulatta (Rhesus monkey)
Lineage: Eukaryota; Metazoa; Chordata; Mammalia; Primates; Cercopithecidae
Source: RefSeq, a predicted model, not a curated record
ACCUUGUGAACCGCCUGCCUCAGCCUCCCAAAGUGCUGGGAUUACAAGUGUGAGCCACCGCGCCUGGCCAAAAAGACAAUCUUUCUCACAUCUGGGGCCUGCCACACAGUACUCAAUGAAUCCUAGAAGAUUGAUGGGAACAGCUUAUUUUCACCAUGGAUGGGGCUUAUGCCAGGCAUAAAAGCUGAUGGAAGAGCACUUUGAAGGAAAAGUCUUUUUUUCUCUUUGCUGAUGUAAACUGGCCUGUUUCCUGUCUCAGUUUGAAUCCAGGGACUGAGGCUAUAAACUAACUCAGGAGGCUCUUAGUGGCCUUCUCUCUUAUCCGACUGGAUAAAUAAUUUAGCCCAUUACAGUGCCAAGUCCGAGCUGCAGCGUUUCCAAGGAGGGGACACCCUGGCCUCGGUUAACAGCAUAGCUCUGCUGUUCCUGGGCCCUCUUUCAAUGUGGCACUGUGGUAGCGAGAGCUUUCUCAGCCUAACAAAAAGUGGAGUUUCCUACUUGUAGGGCAAGAAGGACUUAAAGAAGAGGAUUUAUCCAUAGGAGUUGAACCGAGCAACCACCCAUAAGAAUGAAGCCCUUCAGUACAAGGCUGACAGCUGCUUACCUGCCUUCUACGGGAUUCCGGUUGAUACUGUGCAGUGCUCGUCAACAGGGUGCCUGGGCUCACAGAACGGGGCUGCUGGGCCCCCCUGUACUGUGGCCAUUCUCCAUUCUCUCUAUCUGCUGGCCUUCAUGGCCCUUGACCAGCUUGUUCUUGUCAGGCCAGGAAAACACGAUCAUCUGUCUGCUUUUUGUCUGCUACCCCACACAAAUGACUAUGAAAAUCAAAUAAAAGAGCUUCAAGGGGAAGACCAAGUUCCAUUUGUUA